Molecule: ribosomal RNA, 439 nt
Filed under: uncultured bacterium
Lineage: Bacteria
Description: partial 16S ribosomal RNA
Rfam family: Bacterial small subunit ribosomal RNA
Source: RNAcentral
CUACGGGUUGCACCAGUGAGGAAUUUUGGACAAUGGGGGAAACCCUGAUCCAGGGAUACCGUGUGAGUGAUGAAGGCCCUCGGGUUGUAAAACUCUUUCAGCAAAGAAGAUAAUGACGUUAUUUGCAGAAGAAGCACCGGCAAACUCUGUGCCAGCAGUCGCGGUAAUACAGAGGGUGCAAGCGUUGUUCGGAAUUACUGGGCGUAAAGGAUGCGUAGGCUGUUUGAUAAGUCUGUUGUGAAAUACCGGGGCUCAACCCCGGGGCUGCAUCAGAUACUGUUGAACUAGAGAUCGGGAGAGGUAAAUGGAAUUCCUAGUGGAGAGGUCAAAUUCGUAGAUACUAGGAGGAACACCAGAGGCGAAGGCGAUUUACUGGAACGAAUCUGACGCUGAGGCAUGAAAGCGUGGGGAGCAAACAGGAUUAGAUACCCGCGUAGUC